AUAACUCCGGGAAACCGGGGCUAAUACCGGAUGCUUGUUUGAACCGCAUGGUUCAAACAUAAAAGGUGGCUUCGGCUACCACUUACAGAUGGACCCGCGGCGCAUUAGCUAGUUGGUGAGGUAAUGGCUCACCAAGGCGACGAUGCGUAGCCGACCUGAGAGGGUGAUCGGCCACACUGGGACUGAUACACGGCCCAGACUCCUACGGGAGGCAGCAGUAGGGAAUCUUCCGCAAUGGACGAAAGUCUGACGGAGCAACGCCGCGUGAGUGAUGAAGGUUUUCGGAUCGUAAAGCUCUGUUGUUAGGGAAGAACAAGUACCGUUCGAAUAGGGCGGUACCUUGACGGUACCUAACCAGAAAGCCACGGCUAACUACGUGCCAGCAGCCGCGGUAAUACGUAGGUGGCAAGCGUUGUCCGGAAUUAUUGGGCGUAAAGGGCUCGCAGGCGGUUUCUUAAGUCUGAUGUGAAAGCCCCCGGCUCAACCGGGGAGGGUCAUUGGAAACUGGGGAACUUGAGUGCAGAAGAGGAGAGUGGAAUUCCACGUGUAGCGGUGAAAUGCGUAGAGAUGUGGAGGAACACCAGUGGCGAAGGCGACUCUCUGGUCUGUAACUGACGCUGAGGAGCGAAAGCGUGGGGAGCGAACAGGAUUAGAUACCCUGGUAGUCCACGCCGUAAACGAUGAGUGCUAAGUGUUAGGGGGUUUCCGCCCCUUAGUGCUGCAGCUAACGCAUUAAGCACUCCGCCUGGGGAGUACGGUCGCAAGACUGAAACUCAAAGGAAUUGACGGGGGCCCGCACAAGCGGUGGAGCAUGUGGUUUAAUUCGAAGCAACGCGAAGAACCUUACCAGGUCUUGACAUCCUCUGACAAUCCUAGAGAUAGGACGUCCCCUUCGGGGGCAGAGUGACAGGUGGUGCAUGGUUGUCGUCAGCUCGUGUCGUGAGAUGUUGGGUUAAGUCCCG
RNAcentral lists this ribosomal RNA (962 nucleotides) under Bacillus subtilis. RNAcentral's name for it is "bacterial SSU rRNA". It matches the Rfam family "Bacterial small subunit ribosomal RNA", at positions 143 to 1089 of the family's 1533-position model. The record is from RNAcentral. Lineage: Bacteria; Bacillati; Bacillota; Bacilli; Caryophanales; Bacillaceae.